This 1294-nucleotide long non-coding RNA is filed under the name Bemisia tabaci. RNAcentral's name for it is "lncRNA ENSSSA2NGG004149". Lineage: Eukaryota; Metazoa; Arthropoda; Insecta; Hemiptera; Aleyrodidae. The record is from RNAcentral.
ACUCACAGUUGAAAACAUUUAUAAACUAGAGAUUAGACUGAAUGGAAUGAAAAGUCUAUCCAAUCUUAUGAUGGCAGAGCAAAGCACAGGUAGCAAAAAGAAGUUGCAAUAGACAUUCUUGUACCUAAAUUAUCGGUCUUAUGGUAUGACGGUAAUUUACCCUGUGGGAAGAUGCGUAAUUAAUUGCUUUUCUUCGAUUUACGUUACCUAUUUCCGUUAGGGCGAGAGUAAAUGAAUUAGAAACGAACUUACAAAAGGAAAGAAUGUGAGCUCAGUGCACUAUCAAAUCUAACAAUUAUCACUUAACUCCCGUCGCAUUUCCGAAAGUAUUUGACAAGCGUUAUCACACAGAACUUCAGAAUCAAUCGUUCACCACACAGAAACAAGAGAAUAGAUUGAAAACCUCCAAAAUUAAACGAAAAACGAACACACGUAAUGAGAAUGACCAAGCAAUUUACUCUGACUAGACUAGAGACAGAGACUAGAUUCUAACCUCAAUAAACAACGCUGAAUGGUGGCUCGAUCGCUCCCGAAUAUGUCGAAGGCUGGCGGCAACUUUAAAUUCACGCACUGAAUAAAAUUGACGUAAAACAUUAUAAUUUUCUGCGAAUUUGCACGGGGCCGUCUCAAUUUUAAUCCGACGGUGACCUAUUCUAUUCAACUCAAUCACGAUGAUGAUUUGAACUGCACUGGCGAGGCAUCAGAACAGAAACUACCCUCUUGGUUCACCGGUCGGAGGGCGGUGAAUCGAACCGUUGGAAAUCCCUGUCUCCAAUUCGGGUUAAGGUGGUCACUGGGAAGGCUACGUACAAUACCUGCUACCGGAUUUCAAUUAACCGGACUCCCGGUCGCCGAAGAGGGCAAAGGUUGGGUUUUCCACUGUGUACUACCUAUUGCUCCUGCUGUCAAGCCGGCCUCGGAGAUCGUUACUCGGAUUCACCUGCAUGGUUCGUUCUCUCAACUGGACGGAUUUUUUUCCGUGCAUCAACUUACAAAUCAGGAACCCGUGGUGCACGGUAACUUCGUGUUAAUCGAAAGAAAUUCCAUCCUUUCUUCAUUCACGAACUCUUAUGGAAAUGGAGCUAAAGCGCCUACGCCAGGGGAGCGACGAUGUAUUCGAAAGAAUUACACCCCCCGGGAAAGAACUCUGACCCAAAUCCAUCAAGAAGAAAUAGUGUUUCCCAGGAGCGUCUCACCUCUUACUCUGUUCUGGUGCAGGUGCAGAUCGCUGAGAACCAAAUACGACAAGAACCGUUACCAGUCUUGCUUUACCUCCAAUGGCCAGCUUGAGUGA